GACGAACGCUGGCGGCGUGCUUAACACAUGCAAGUCGAACGGAAAGGCCCUGCUUUUGUGGGGUGCUCGAGUGGCGAACGGGUGAGUAACACGUGAGUAACCUGCCCUUGACUUUGGGAUAACUUCAGGAAACUGGGGCUAAUACCGGAUAGGAGCUCCUGCUGCAUGGUGGGGGUUGGAAAGUUUCGGCGGUUGGGGAUGGACUCGCGGCUUAUCAGCUUGUUGGUGGGGUAGUGGCUUACCCAGGCUUUGACGGGUAGCCGGCCUGAGAGGGGGGACGGCCACAAGGGGACUGAGAUACGGACCAGACGCGUACGGGAGGCAGCAGGGGGAAGUAUGACACAAUGGGCGGGAGCCUGAGGCAGAGACGCCGCGUGCGGGAAGACGGCCUUCGGGUUGUAAACCGCUUUCGCCUGUGACGAAGCGUGAGUGACGGUAAUGAGUAAAGAAGCACCGGCUAACUACGUG
This 468-nucleotide ribosomal RNA is filed under the name uncultured bacterium. Its description in RNAcentral is "partial 16S ribosomal RNA". It matches the Rfam family "Bacterial small subunit ribosomal RNA", at positions 28 to 507 of the family's 1533-position model. The record is from RNAcentral.